UCCAGAAUCUGGGUGGCUGUUAGACUACAGGAUAACCAGAAUAACUGGCCCAAGAUUUUAGGAAUUGAAGCUAUGUGUAUGCCUCUUGAUUUGCCUCUGCCAGUAUGAUUAAAUUCUCCAAAGUGAGAAGCAGGGUUAAGUGAAAUAAUCAGUAUGGCAGUGGUAUUGGCCAAUCACAACAGUUUCAGCUGUGAACAACCAGUCAUUGAACUGAAGCAAACCCUCUGAACCUCAUCCUUGAGAGAAAAGGCUCUGUGUGAUUUACUCUCUAGCUGCUGUGCCCUGCUCUCAUCACCAAGAACAAGAGGACAAGGAGAAAGAGGCCUAGGAGCUAAAAUUACCAAGCACCUACCAUGUUCUAGAUCAUACUGACUCUUCACAAAAAUACUAUGACAGAAGUAUCAACACUCCAGGAGAUACACAAAACAAAUGGAUCCUUACCACAAGACAAAAACCUCCCAGUGGAAAAGCAUAAACACAGUUUCAGCCCAUCUGUAUUGGAAGCCUUGUAAAUAAUCUGACAAAUAAUAGCAAUAAACAAUG
Long non-coding RNA from Canis lupus familiaris (dog), 543 nucleotides. RefSeq lists it as uncharacterized. The transcript is spliced from 3 exons. Lineage: Eukaryota; Metazoa; Chordata; Mammalia; Carnivora; Canidae. The record is from RefSeq and is a predicted model, not a curated record.